UACGAAGGGGGGCUAGCGUUGCUCGGAAUCACUGGGCGUAAAAGCGCACGUAGGCGGAUCUUUAAGUCAGAGGUGAAAUCCUGGAGCUCAACUCCAGAACUGCCUUUGAUACUGAGGAGCUCGAGUCCGGGAGAGGUGAGUGGAACUCCGAGUGUAGAGGUGAAAAUUCGUAGAUAUCGGGAGGAACACCGGUGGCGAAGGCGGCGACCUGGGACGAUACUGACGCUGAGGUGCGAAAGCGUGGGGAGCAAACAGG
This 256-nucleotide ribosomal RNA is filed under the name uncultured bacterium. RNAcentral describes it as "partial 16S ribosomal RNA". It matches the Rfam family "Bacterial small subunit ribosomal RNA", at positions 524 to 776 of the family's 1533-position model. The record is from RNAcentral.